Long non-coding RNA from Acanthochromis polyacanthus (spiny chromis), 1383 nucleotides. RefSeq lists it as uncharacterized. The transcript is spliced from 2 exons. The record is from RefSeq and is a predicted model, not a curated record. NCBI's taxonomy places the organism in Eukaryota, Metazoa, Chordata, Actinopteri, Pomacentridae.
AAUGCGCGUUUAUUUGACGAUUUACGGCCGUCGCCUGCUAAAGUCCCGGAUGUAAAUCUAAACACACAACAGUCUUCAUGCUGAAGCUCCAGGAAGGCUGAAGUUUUUUCUCCUGACUUUCUGGCUGCGCUCCUCGGCAUGUCUUUCUCCUCCUCCUUCGGCUCGCAGCUCGCAGCCAUCCUGGACGUUCUGGUCAAAGCCGCGGUAGCAGAAAUCACGAAGCUGGUGGACGACGAGAGCGUCUCUCUGCAGCUGAAAGUGUGUCAGAGGGACGCUGAGAUCCAAAAGCUCCGCAGGAGUCUGGAGCUGAUGGAGGCUGAACUCUUCAAAGAAGCCUUCACGAUCCGAGAGAUGGAGGAGAGAGAGAGAAGGGGAGACAGGAGGAGUUACCAGCAGCCGAGAACCAGGUCCACCUGAGAGUUGCAGACAUAAAAGAAGAUGAGGACAGAAGCCCUGGAUAUCCUGAAUCCAAAACUGCUGAUUCACUCUGCGAGACCCCAAAUGAAACCAAUGAGAACUUCAGGCCGGCGGUGAAACAGGAGCCAGCGGAUGAGCUUAUCACCACAGAAACAACAGACAGCACAGUGACAGCGGACGUUAGCUUUGAAGCAGGAAAGCGAGAUGACUCAACACACCUUCUUCCUGCUUGUAGCAUGUUUGAGAACAUCUCUGUUGCCACGCAACAGCAAAUGCAGACUUUCCCCUCUCAUGCUGAGCGAUAUUCUGCUCACAGUAACACGGAAAGUUUGUGUAAUUCUUCAUCAACUGCAGCAGAGGAUGUCGAAGAUAACCACUUAAGCGUGCCAAAGGCAACAACAUUGUCCCAAGUGGUCGAAGGACCAAGCUUGUCAGGUGGCCUGCCGAAGAUAGCUGGAUUGAUACUUAAACCUAAAAUGUCUGACAUGGACUUUAAGAAGGAUUGUCAAAAAUAAACUAAUUUAGAACAGGACCAAAGCAUGCGUAUUGGGUUGCAAGGAGCUUGGGAGCAUCUACCACAAGUUUCAUCAAUUGUAUCUGGAAAUAGUGUUUGUUUGCAAUGAUGAAGUCUAUGGAGCACAACUGAAUGAGAGACAGCCAUGUUUAUCUGUCGUUCUGUAACGCUGAAAAAGCUGGCUUAUUUUCAGAUUGUUCAGUCUUUGUGAUCCAUCACUAAAACAAUAAUGUUGGAUUUAUUACUGGGAAUUCACACAGCUGUUCCUGAAAUAUUACAGACUACAAAAUAAAAGCCAAUGGCUCUACUGGACAUCCCAUUAAUUGUGAGAAACUAGACAGUUUAAUAGGUUUCUGGUGCCUAGAAAGACACAUAGACACUUGUUCCUGGAAAAUCAGGAAACUCCUAAGGAUGAAACAGUAACUGACAAAUAAAUGUAGUAUUUGAAAUGA